Molecule: ribosomal RNA, 429 nt
Filed under: Mesalina watsonana
Lineage: Eukaryota; Metazoa; Chordata; Lepidosauria; Squamata; Lacertidae
Description: partial large subunit ribosomal RNA
Rfam family: Bacterial large subunit ribosomal RNA
Source: RNAcentral
GGUAGCAUAAUCACUUGUCCCCUAAAUAGGGACUAGUAUGAACGGCUAAAUGAGGAUUAAACUGUCUCUUGUAGCCAACCCAUGAAACUGAUCUCAUAGUCCAAAAGCUAUGAUAACCUCACUAGACGAGAAGACCCUGUGGAGCUUUUAAACCCAAGACAAACCUAUGCCCCCCGGUUUUUAGUUGGGGCAACUUCGGAACAAAAACCAACCUCCGACAAACACAAAAUCAAAACUAACAAGUUAAAAUCUUUACCUGACCCAAUAGACAACCUAUUUGAUCAACGAACCAAGUUACCCCAGGGAUAACAGCGCCAUCCUCUUUCAGAGUCCCUAUCGACAAGAGGGUUUACGACCUCGAUGUUGGAUCAGGACACCCUAAUGGUGUAGCCGCUAUUAAAGGUUCGUUUGUUCAACGAUUAAAGUCCU